AGCAUGCCGCGGUGAAUACGUUCCCGGGCCCUUGUACACACCGCCCGUCACACCCAUGGGAGCCGGUAAUACCCGAAGUCCAGUAGUCCAACCACGUGAGGACGCUGCCGAAGGUAGGAUUGGCGACUGGGGUGAAGUCGUAACAAGGUAAC
Molecule: ribosomal RNA, 152 nt
Filed under: uncultured bacterium
Lineage: Bacteria
Description: partial 16S ribosomal RNA
Rfam family: Bacterial small subunit ribosomal RNA
Source: RNAcentral